RNAcentral lists this unclassified non-coding RNA (1657 nucleotides) under Hevea brasiliensis (rubber tree). The record is from RNAcentral. Lineage: Eukaryota; Viridiplantae; Streptophyta; Magnoliopsida; Malpighiales; Euphorbiaceae.
GAAGAUGAUGAAGCAGAUUUACCCAAUAUUUUCAUGCAAAGCUUUAACAGAGAUACCUUGAAUGUAUCGCAAAAACAAAGCUAUGGCUGCAAAGUAGGAAGGGGCUAUGGGCAUUAAUGACUAACCUCAACUCGGCUACAAACUAAGAGUUAAUUGAGUCACAAAACCGAGUCCAACCCAACUCAGCCUAUCCCCAAUUCAAGAGAAAAGUUAGUCAAAUGCACGACCAAGCAGCCAAACCAACCACAAAUCAUCCCAAGGGAAAAACAAUUCCCAGAUCCUAAUCGUUUCUCCCAGAAUGGAGGAGCAAGAAAAUCUCUUGACUGAAACCGUAAUUCACUACUGGGGCAAAACCCGAGAGGAAGAAUACUACAAGCAACAAGGAAUCAGGGCAUCACAUUCAUUAUACACCUCACCUAGGGGACUCUCUCUCUUCACCAGAUCAUGGCUUCCCAUCUCCACUGCGCCUCCGCGUGGCAUCCUCUGUAUGGUUCACGGUUAUGGCAAUGACAUCAGCUGGACCUUUCAGUCCACAGCUAUCUUCCUUGCUCAGAUGGGUUUUGCCUGCUAUGCUAUUGAUAUCGAAGGGCACGGUAGAUCUCAAGGCCUCAAGGCGUAUGUCCCCAAUGUCGACCUCGUUGUUCAAGAUUGUCUUUCUUUCUUCAAUUUUAUCAAGCAAGAUCCAGAAUUUCAUGGGUUGCCCUCAUUUUUAUAUGGUGAGUCAAUGGGUGGUGCUAUUUGUCUCCUGAUUCAUCUAGCAAACCCUAGAGGGUUUGAUGGUGCAAUCUUGGUUGCACCCAUGUGUAAAAUCUCAGAGAAUAUGAAACCCAGAUGGCCAAUUCCUGAGAUUCUAUCAUUUGUUGCAAAAUUCUUGCCAACUUUGCCUAUUGUACCAACUGCAGAUGUUCUAUCAAAGUCGAUAAAAGUUGAGGAAAAGAAGAUAAUUGGAGUGAUGAAUCCGAUGAGGUACAAGGGAAAACCAAGAUUAGGUACUGUUUUGGAGCUGUUGAGAGUUACAGAUUAUCUGAGUCAAAGAUUAUGUGAUAUUAGCAUUCCCUUCAUUGUAUUACAUGGCAGUGCUGACGUUGUUACAGAUCCAAAUGUGAGCAGAGCUUUGUAUGAAGAGGCAAAUAGCGAAGACAAAACAAUCAAGAUUUAUGAUGGUAUGAUGCAUUCUUUGCUUUUUGGUGAGACUGAUGAGAAUAUUGAAAUUGUUCGGGGUGAUAUUUUGGCUUGGUUGAAUGAUAGAUGCCAAGCAAAUUGAUGUUCUGAUUACUUUUUCUUAUGAGCAACAGCUCCUCUUUGUUCAAAUGCAAAAACCUGUGAGGAACUUGAAGAAUUCUAUUUUUCUAAUGGAUUUAAUAUCUUAUUUGAAUUAAGUUUGAUAUAUAUGUUAAUUGGGUAUUUACUGUUUGAUUGAAAUUUGUAGCUUGAUGAUAUCUGUCCGUUAAAAGAGCUCUACAAUCUGUUACAGACUGCAAGUCCCUGAGAAUUUUUUUCAGUUGUGUUUGUGCAGCAAAUUAGAGGAGAAAUCUAGUUCUGCUCAUGUCAUGAACAUUUUAGUUUCUUAAUACAAAUGCACAGAAAGUUACAAAGAAAAGAAAUAACUAGCAGUUUCAGAGCGUAGGAUGUCAACCGAGUUCUUUGAUCCUUUAGU